CAGCACCUCAAGUGGUCAGGAGGAUUAUUGGGCCUAAAGCAUCCGUAGCCGGCUCUGUAAGUUUCCGGUUAAAUCCAUGUGCUCAACGCAUGGGCUGCCGAAAAUACUGCAUAGCUAGGGAGUGGGAGAGGUAGACGGUACUCAGUAGGAAGGGGUAAAAUUCCUUUAUCUAUCGAUGACCACCUGUUGCGAA
Molecule: ribosomal RNA, 193 nt
Filed under: uncultured marine archaeon
Lineage: Archaea
Description: partial 16S ribosomal RNA
Rfam family: Archaeal small subunit ribosomal RNA
Source: RNAcentral